Cuculus canorus (common cuckoo) is the source of this 1241-nucleotide long non-coding RNA. RefSeq lists it as uncharacterized. Lineage: Eukaryota; Metazoa; Chordata; Aves; Cuculiformes; Cuculidae. The transcript has 3 exons. The record is from RefSeq and is a predicted model, not a curated record.
GGACUUCCGAAACCACAGCGCUGGGCAGCCACAAGGACAGAGGAGGAGACUGGCGUUUGGGAGAAGGUGUAACUUACACCAAUCCAUUUUUCUUCCAAAAAGUUCAGGACCUUGCACUUGGCCUUAUUGAAUCUCACAAGAUUUGCACAGUCCCACUUUUCUGGGCUGUCCAGGUCCCUCUGGAUGACAUCUCUCCCCUCCAGCAUGCCAAACGUGGUACUCAGCUUGUGUAGUCAACAACCUUUCUCUGCCAUCUUGCAAAAAUACUCCUUCAGUACAUGGACAUACAUGGUGGUCCAUCCACGAGCACUUUCUGCGCUCCAUGAGGUCCAUUUGAGAAGUUCUGACUCUACCAUUGCUGUUGGAGAGACACAUGCAGGAGCUGAGUUUCUUCAAUGGCAUCAUCCUCUAACAUUUAAUUGUUGUACGGGAAGGAUCAGGCUGCGUAAUUUCUAUAGCAGGUCUGCCAGUGAAUUUGCAUUUUGGUUUGCUGGAUGAAGUCACCCAUGCAGCCAGUUGGUUCCUCGGCCCUGUCACUGAAGAAGACGUCAGAGGGCUCUGCUGGAACAGAGUACGCACAGCUGAAUCUUUGCACCCAACAGGGAGUUGGCCGACACCUUGACUUCAGCUCUAGGUCUGGAGGCUACGCUUGGCAGGAGCAGAGAUGCAAUUCUCCUGCGUGCAAGAAGCCGUAGAGUUAAGUCUUCAGACGAGUCACUAAAAUUAACCUCUGUGUGAUAAGUGGCACAACUUCAGGAGGUGGAAUUAUGUGCAUUCAGGUACUGGAGAGCUGCUGAUUGGCACGUGGGUUUAAUUCAAUACUCCAAGACACCCUUCUGACUCGGGGGAAUAUUGGCACCGUGCGUGAAUGCUGCAGAGUGUUGAUGCUUCUGAGGGGGAUGACCACCUCCUGUGACAACCUGAUUUAAAUGUACAAACUUACACUAACUGUACGGACUGAAGCAUUAAAGGAGCAGCAGACACAGAGCACUCCUCUCCUCCGAGAAGCAUCUCCUGUGCCGCGGUGUACCUCAGGUUUGAUCUAUGUGGGACCAAAUUCUGUCUGCUUUUGCCUUUAUUUUGGGUUGUGAGGACAGAAGAUGACUCUGAUGGGAUGUUGUGAGACAGUCCCUGGCUGAGCAUGGGUGUCUCCUCUGCAGAGAAGGAGCAGGAGAGCCCACCUGCAGCAUCACUGCUGUGGGGUGGCAGUGGUACCCAACCAGUGCUGAUAAUGAUGAUAA